AACGAACGCUGGCGGCAUGCCUAACACAUGCCAGUCGAACGAGACCUUCGGGUCUAGUGGCGCACGGGUGCGUAAUGCGUGGGAACCUGCCCUUAGGUUCGGAAUAACUCCCCGAAAGGGGUGCUAAUACCGGAUAAUGUCUUCGGACCAAAGAUUUAUCGCCUUUGGAUGGGCCCGCGUUGGAUUAGCUAGUUGGUAGGGUAAAAGCCUACCAAGGCGACGAUCCAUAGCUGGUCUGAGAGGAUGAUCAGCCACACUGGGACUGAGACACGGCCCAGACUCCUACGGGAGGCAGCAGUGGGGAAUAUUGGACAAUGGGCGAAAGCCUGAUCCAGCAAUGCCGCGUGAGUGAUGAAGGCCUUAGGGUUGUAAAGCUCUUUUACCCGGGAUGAUAAUGACAGUACCGGGAGAAUAAGCGCCGGCUAACUCCGUG
Molecule: ribosomal RNA, 433 nt
Filed under: uncultured bacterium
Lineage: Bacteria
Description: partial 16S ribosomal RNA
Rfam family: Bacterial small subunit ribosomal RNA
Source: RNAcentral